UAUUAACUGGAGGAAGGUGGGGAUGACGUCUAGUCAUCAUGGCCCUUACGACCAGGGCUACACACGUGCUACAAUGGCGCAUACAAAGAGAAGCGACCUCGCGAGAGCAAGCGGACCUCAUAAAGUGCGUCGUAGUCCGGAUUGGAGUCGGCAACUCGACUCCAUGAAGUCGGAAUCGCUAGUAAUCCUGGAUCAGAAUGCCACGGUGAAUACGUUCCCGGGCUUUGUACACACCGCCCGUCACACCAUGGGAGUGGGUUG
This 261-nucleotide ribosomal RNA is filed under the name uncultured Gammaproteobacteria bacterium. Its description in RNAcentral is "partial 16S ribosomal RNA". It matches the Rfam family "Bacterial small subunit ribosomal RNA", at positions 1157 to 1417 of the family's 1533-position model. Lineage: Bacteria; Pseudomonadati; Pseudomonadota; Gammaproteobacteria. The record is from RNAcentral.